Molecule: ribosomal RNA, 1301 nt
Filed under: metagenome
Description: bacterial LSU rRNA
Rfam family: Bacterial large subunit ribosomal RNA
Source: RNAcentral
CAAGCCGUCAAGAAAAGCUGCUAUUGUUUCAUUAUGGCCCGUACCGUAAACCGACACAGGUGGAUGGGGAGAGAAUCCUAAGGCCGGCGGAAGAAGUAUUGUUAAGGAACUCGGCAAAAUGACCCCGUAACUUCGGGAGAAGGGGUGCCUGCGAGAGCAGGCCGCAGAGAAGAGGCCCAAGCAACUGUUUAGCAAAAACACAGGUCUAUGCAAAACCGAAAGGUGAGGUAUAUGGGCUGACGCCUGCCCGGUGCUGGAAGGUUAAGGGGAGUGGUCAGGAAACGAAGCCACGAACUUAAGCCCCAGUAAACGGCGGCCGUAACAAUAACGGUCCUAAGGUAGCGAAAUUCCUUGUCGGGUAAGUUCCGACCCGCACGAAAGGCGUAAUGAUUUGGGCGCUGUCUCGACAAUACAUCCGGUGAAAUUGAAGUGCCAGUGAAGAUGCUGGCUACCUGCGCCAGGACGGAAAGACCCCAUGGAGCUUUACUCCAGCUUGAUACUGGGACCCGGUAUUGCAUGUACAGGAUAGGUGGGAGGCUAGGAAAUGUGGACGCCAGUCUGCAUGGAGCCGCUGUUGGGAUACCACCCUUGUGGUGCUGGGUUUCUAACCAGAGGCCGUGAACCGGUCUGGGGACAAUGUCAGGUGGGGAGUUUGACUGGGGCGGUCGCCUCCGAAAGGGUAUCGGAGGCGCCCAAAGGUUCCCUCAGAAUGGUUGGAAACCAUUCGAAGAGUGCAAAGGCAGAAGGGAGCUUGACUGCGACACCGACGGGUGGAGCAGGUACGAAAGUAGGGCUUAGUGAUCCGGUGGAAUUUAAGUGGGAAUGCCAUCGCUCAACGGAUAAAAGCUACCCUGAGGAUAACAGGCUGAUCACUCCCAAGAGUUCACAUCGACGGAGUGGUUUGGCACCUCGAUGUCGGCUCAUCGCAUCCUGGGGCUGAAGUCGGUCCCAAGGGUUGGGCUGUUCGCCCAUUAAAGCGGUACGCGAGCUGGGUUCAGAACGUCGUGAGACAGUUCGGUCCCUAUCCGGCGUGGGCGUAGGAUAUCUGAGAGGAGCUGUCCUUAGUACGAGAGGACCGGGAUGGACUGACCUCUGGUGUACCGGUUGGCGAUCAACGCCACGGCCGGGUAGCCAUGUCGGGACGGGAUAAACGCUGAAGGCAUCUAAGCGUGAAGCCCCCCUCAAGAUGAGAUAUCCCAUCGUAAGAGUAAGACCCCUUGAAGACGACGAGGUUGAUAGGGCAGGGGUGGAAGUGCUGUAAGGCAUGGAGCUGACUGCUACUAUCGGUCGAGGGCUUGACC